This 427-nucleotide ribosomal RNA is filed under the name bacterium 14S225. RNAcentral describes it as "bacterial SSU rRNA". It matches the Rfam family "Bacterial small subunit ribosomal RNA", at positions 1044 to 1469 of the family's 1533-position model. The record is from RNAcentral.
CGAGGCUGUGGUUCAGCUCGUGUUGUGAAAUGUUGGGUUAAGUCCCGCAACGAGCGCAACCCUUAUCCUUUGUUGCCAGCGGUUCGGCCGGGAACUCAAAGGAGACUGCCAGUGAUAAACUGGAGGAAGGUGGGGAUGACGUCAAGUCAUCAUGGCCCUUACGAGUAGGGCUACACACGUGCUACAAUGGCAUAUACAAAGAGAAGCGACCUCGCGAGAGCAAGCGGACCUCAUAAAGUAUGUCGUAGUCCGGAUUGGAGUCUGCAACUCGACUCCAUGAAGUCGGAAUCGCUAGUAAUCGUGGAUCAGAAUGCCACGGUGAAUACGUUCCCGGGCCUUGUACACACCGCCCGUCACACCAUGGGAGUGGGUUGCAAAAGAAGUAGGUAGCUUAACCUUCGGGAGGGCGCUUACCACUUGUACUACC